RNAcentral lists this transfer RNA (73 nucleotides) under Deltaproteobacteria bacterium. Its description in RNAcentral is "tRNA-Trp". It matches the Rfam family "tRNA". From Rfam's summary of the family: Transfer RNA (tRNA) molecules are approximately 80 nucleotides in length. Their secondary structure includes four short double-helical elements and three loops (D, anti-codon, and T loops). The record is from RNAcentral. Lineage: Bacteria; Pseudomonadati; Myxococcota; Myxococcia.
AGGGGAGUAGCUCAGCUGGUAGAGCACCGGUCUCCAAAACCGGGGGUCGCAGGUUCGAUCCCUGUCUCCCCUG